RNAcentral lists this ribosomal RNA (433 nucleotides) under uncultured bacterium. RNAcentral's name for it is "partial 16S ribosomal RNA". It matches the Rfam family "Bacterial small subunit ribosomal RNA", at positions 29 to 507 of the family's 1533-position model. The record is from RNAcentral.
AACGAACGCUGGCGGCAUGCCUAACACAUGCAAGUCGAACGAGACCUUCGGGUCUAGUGGCGCACGGGUGCGUAACGCGUGGGAACCUGCCCUUAGGUUCGGAAUAACUCCCCGAAAGGUGUGCUAAUACCGGCUAAUGUCUUCGGACCAAAGAUUUAUCGCCUGUGGAUGUGCCCGCGUUGGAUUAGCUAGUUGGUAGGGUAAAAGCCUACCAAGGCGACGAUACAUAGCUGGUCUGAGAGGAUGAUCAGCCACACUGGGACUGAGACACGGCCCAGACUCCUACGGGAGGCAGCAGUGGGGAAUAUUGGACAAUGGGCGGAAGCCUGAUCCAGCAAUGCCGCGUGAGUGAUGAAGGCCUUAGGGUUGUAAAGCUCUUUUACCCGGGAUGAUAAUGACAGUACCGGGAGAAUAAGCUCCGGCUAACUCCGUG